UACGUAGGGUGCGAGCGUUGUCCGGAAUUAUUGGGCGUAAAGAGCUCGUAGGCGGUGUGUCACGUCGUUCGUGAAAACCUGCAGCUUAACUGUGGGCGUGCGGUCGAUACGGGCAUCACUGGAGUUCGGCAGGGGAGACUGGAAUUCCUGGUGUAGCGGUGAAAUGCGCAGAUAUCAGGAGGAACACCGGUGGCGAAGGCGGGUCUCUGGGCCGAGACUGACGCUGAGGAGCGAAAGCGUGGGGAGCGAACAGG
RNAcentral lists this ribosomal RNA (254 nucleotides) under uncultured bacterium. RNAcentral describes it as "partial 16S ribosomal RNA". It matches the Rfam family "Bacterial small subunit ribosomal RNA", at positions 524 to 776 of the family's 1533-position model. The record is from RNAcentral.